UUACACAUGUUGUAUAUUGGCUAUAUUAAACACCAAAAAAUAAUCAUUUUUCUUAACAGUUCCCCCUUUUGAGGUCUUUUUCAAAAGACCUCAAUAAAAAUUGAGUACGCCUUCUAAUACAGAAGCAAAACUAUGUAAUACAUAACGAAAAAAAACCAAAAAAAUAAAAAGACAAAAGAGUGACGUACCCUAAUUACAUACAAUCCCCCUUUGAAACAAAACCCAAGGUGUAGAAAGACUUAUCCUUAAAAGUGUAAAAUCAUAAAACAAAAUCAUCACAAUCCUACCAAAACACAGGACAAACAAAAACCCAAAGUGUAAAA
Molecule: long non-coding RNA, 323 nt
Organism: Xiphophorus hellerii (green swordtail)
Lineage: Eukaryota; Metazoa; Chordata; Actinopteri; Cyprinodontiformes; Poeciliidae
Exons: 2
Source: RefSeq, a predicted model, not a curated record